AAGUCGUAACAAGGUUUCCGUAGGUGAACCUGCGGAAGGAUCAUUAACACGUAUCCAAACGUUAAAACCCCCCCCGUGAACCUUCAUCCUGCUCUUGUAACCCGCCUAGUUCGCAAUCUCUGAUAAAUCAUAGCCCGGAAAGUUGCAGUGAUUCAGAGACCCCUGCCAAGCAGUCAGUGUCGGAAAGUGUCAUUGAUUGUGCAAGGCUAGCGCUUCUACGAUUCCUGUAGACCGUACACUCGGGCAGGAGCUUUGCCAAAGGGUCCCCAUGCCCCCUAAUAACCCCACAGUUUAAUGUGAAGCUCAAUGUAAUACAUUGGGUAAAAAAAUCGAACAACUGUUAACAAUGGAUAUCUUGGUUCUU
This 364-nucleotide unclassified non-coding RNA is filed under the name fungal sp. RNAcentral describes it as "partial internal transcribed spacer region". The stretch from base 1 to 46 matches the Rfam family "Eukaryotic small subunit ribosomal RNA", at positions 1786 to 1831 of the family's 1831-position model. The record is from RNAcentral. Lineage: Eukaryota; Fungi.